UGUAAAGGCAGAAGCCUAAGCAUGGUGUCUGUCUGGCACAUGUUAGGCACCUUAAGCUUUUUGACAAUGAUUUGUCAAAUCAACUACGGAUUGGGAAAAUAGCUUAAAAUCACAAAAGAGGAGGUAAGGUAGUACUGUUUCAAUGCUUUAUUAACAGUUGGAAACAUACCCACCGAACUGGAGGUGAUGACAUCCCAGAAGCCCAAGAGGCAAGGGAAACAGGAAUUUCCUAGGCCAAAACCAUUUUCAAGUCUGACCUGGGGAAGGCUGUCCAAACACAGGAAGGCCUUCAGUACGCUGCUGGGGGCAACUCCCAAAAAGCAGAGCAGCAGCCACGCACUGAGGUCAAGUGCAGGUCACACUCCUAUGUGUACCCCCACCCCCACCUCUUCAGGGAUAGCAGCUGUGAGACAAAUGCCAAGGGGCGCCUGCUAGCUUUUGCGGGGUCAUGGGAAAGAUGAAUGGAGAAAGCAGUGCUUCAGCCUUACAGAAGCAAGGACAGCUGCAGAGCCCAGCGCCCCUAAAGGAUGGGGGCAGCUCUGGGACACACACAGGAAUGAACUAAGUGCCCACACCUUCAGCCAGGUCAGAAGCCAAACGGGGGAAGGCCCCGCCCUUCCCUGGGGCUGUUGCCUCUGCAGAACCGAGACCCAGCACCCAGCACCGCUGUGUUCACACCACAGAGGCCCCCUCCCCAGGUCAGGGAACACACUGCAUGCCUACAGGUUACCAAUGCACAGGUCUCCUCCUCCUCCAACACUUCCUGCCAGGGGCACAAUGGACUGUCUAACAAGAGGAGAAAGAAGAGUGAAGGCUCUGACAGGCACAAACCCUCACCCUGUGGUUCCAGGUGGAAGGAAUGUACACUGGAACUGGAAAGAGAAUCAACAGAACAGAAGAAUCCUGGCUUCCACUCUGAAGAACUCAGAAAAAGCUUAGUGGAAACAGCCCUGGACUUGGAAUCACAAAAGGCGACUACAGUUCUAGCUCUGGAUCUGGGAGAGGAAGAGCUUAUCUGGGUCUUAACUGCUUUCAUCGAUGAGGAGAUCAGACGCUAAACACUAAGUCUAAUGCUGGUCACACUCUACUGUGAUAGAACCUUUGCAGCUACUGUGAGGCCAGAUCACUUUAAAGGACGUGAACGCACUGUCUGAGCAGCACACCAGAGGAACUGUGUCUCCCCUAGACACCCAGAGCCCAGGAAGAUCACGUUACAGGAUGGAACCAAUUUAAAAAUCAUGUAGUUCUCUGCUUCACUAUCUCCUAGUAUCAUUCUCCUAUUCCACUUGGACUAAUUUAGAUCCUCUGCUGAAAAGUUAUGUUCCAGUAAAAUCCCUGUUUCCUC
This is a long non-coding RNA of Suricata suricatta (meerkat), 1345 nucleotides long. RefSeq lists it as uncharacterized. The transcript has 6 exons. The record is from RefSeq and is a predicted model, not a curated record. NCBI's taxonomy places the organism in Eukaryota, Metazoa, Chordata, Mammalia, Carnivora, Herpestidae.